Long non-coding RNA from Syngnathus typhle (broad-nosed pipefish), 1310 nucleotides. RefSeq lists it as uncharacterized. Lineage: Eukaryota; Metazoa; Chordata; Actinopteri; Syngnathiformes; Syngnathidae. The record is from RefSeq and is a predicted model, not a curated record. The transcript is spliced from 5 exons.
AUUGGAGGGAUGGAGCUGCUUCAUGAGGAAGGAACAACAAGCCUGAACAGCAGAAGACAACUGCAGCAGACAAGAGGCGGACAGCAAAGACUCAAUGGUGUCCUCCCUCAACUCGAGACGUCCUGAAGAAAACAUGACAAAAGAGGGAGGUGUGGAGACUAGCAAUUUCCGACUGCCUGUGAAAGUGGCAGAAUGUGAAUGGAUGAGAGAGUAGAGGCAUGAUGUGACUGCAUCCAAGGACUGUCAGCCACCAGCGUCACAUCACACAACUGUCGACUCCUCAAGUAGCCCUCCAUCUUGCGGAAGGUGAUGUCAGCAUGGGACAGAGCGGUGAAUAAGCCCUCCUCCGGACACGCGCACGGCUCCAUCGACAUACAUGAAGACAGCGUGACAGUGCUGUUGGACGUCCUGCGUGAUGAGACGGACGGAUGUGUGUGUGGGUCGCAGAUAAGCAAUGAAGUAUUGCCACAAGGUGAAUCAUCAACCAUGACGGCUCCCGGGAUGGCAUUUAAUUGAAAUUCUUUCGUCGUGAUUUUAUCAUCACAGCACAGAUAACAUCACACUCCACUUAUCCUCAAAAGGGUCGCAAACAGAUGGUGGUGCCCCGGGAGAUACUUUGAAGUGGGCAAAGGCUGCUUUCCAGAGCCCCUUAAUCGAGCUUGGCAGGCACCCGGUAUGAAGCGGCAGAGAGUCUGUGGCGAAUCAAGACUAUGAUUCUAAACUGGUACGGCGGCAAGUCCAACCACACACAAAACUGUUGUUGUCCAAACUAAGCCAAAUGAAGCUAAGACGUGGAAAGGAGCCAUUGGCUUGGAAGCAUCUGGCCAUUUGCCUCUACAUUGUAGGAAAUGCAAAUGGGGGGGAAAAAGUUCCUUAAUUGUUAAGAAAACUGCCUUCAGUUUCUGGGAAGACUCUCUUCAAGAUGUUGGAGUGAGGGGUCUCAAUACAUAGGCCAUUUUUGUAAUUCCUCAAACUCAGAAAACAGUAGAACUGAUUUGUUGGCUGAAACAACUAUUACAACUCAAUUCCGACAAAACACAGGCUGGUCUAUGAAGUACAGAGCACAAUGGCUCCAGAUGGAGGACCAAAGGUGAUGCAUUGGAUUAAAAAAAAAAAUUGCAUCCAGAAAGACUGUAUUUAGACUCCCACCACAUUAGUAAAACAUAAUCACACCACACUAUAUUUUUGAAAGGGAUUCGACGAGGAAGGUGUCCCCCCCUUCUGUAGCUCUCAGGAAAGGACUGACACACAACUACUCCGUAUAGUCACUAUUAUUUUUUUAGUGCUGUUAAUAAAUGCAUUUGUUUUCA